AAUGAACGUUGGCGGCGUGGAUUAGGCAUGCAAGUCGAGCGAUAACCUCGCAAGAGGGAAAGCGGCAAACGGGUAGUAAUGUGUCGGAACGUGCCCUCUGGACGGGGAUAGCGGCGGGAAACUGCCGGUAAUACCCGAUGAACUCCGCCCCUGUGAUGGGGCCGAGCAAAGGUGUGAUUCCGCCGGAGGAGCGGCCGACAUGGUAUUAGCUGGUUGGCGGGGUAAUGGCCCACCAAGGCUGNGAUGCCUAGGGGAUGUGAGAGCAUGAUCCCCACCAUUGGGACUGAGACACUGCCCAGACACCGUACGGGUGGCUGCAGUCGAGAAUCUUCGUCAAUGGGCGAAAGCCUGAACGAGCGACGCCG
This 365-nucleotide ribosomal RNA is filed under the name uncultured bacterium. RNAcentral describes it as "bacterial SSU rRNA". It matches the Rfam family "Bacterial small subunit ribosomal RNA", at positions 29 to 399 of the family's 1533-position model. The record is from RNAcentral.